ACUAUUGAAGGAUUGAAGUUUAUCCGUUGGUCUUAGGAACCAAAAAUCCCUGGUGCAAAUCCAUGCAAUAGUA
Molecule: transfer RNA, 73 nt
Filed under: Cynoglossus puncticeps (speckled tonguesole)
Lineage: Eukaryota; Metazoa; Chordata; Actinopteri; Pleuronectiformes; Cynoglossidae
Description: tRNA-Leu
Rfam family: tRNA
About the family: Transfer RNA (tRNA) molecules are approximately 80 nucleotides in length. Their secondary structure includes four short double-helical elements and three loops (D, anti-codon, and T loops).
Source: RNAcentral